This 262-nucleotide ribosomal RNA is filed under the name uncultured bacterium. RNAcentral describes it as "partial 16S ribosomal RNA". It matches the Rfam family "Bacterial small subunit ribosomal RNA", at positions 1105 to 1366 of the family's 1533-position model. The record is from RNAcentral.
CUAUCCCUGGUUGCUAGCAGGUAAUGCUGAGAACUCCAGGGAGACUGCCGGUGACAAACCGGAGGAAGGUGGGGAUGACGUCAGGUCAUCAUGGCCCUUACGGCCAGGGCUACACACGUGCUACAAUGGCGCGCACAGAGGGCUGCCAACUCGCGAGAGUGAGCCAAUCCCUUAAAACGCGUCGUAGUCCGGAUCGGAGUCUGCAACUCGACUCCGUGAAGUCGGAAUCGCUAGUAAUCGCGAAUCAGAAUGUCGCGGUGAA